CUCUUUCCCCAGGGGCAGCUGCGGCACCUGGCCCCGCCCUGCUCUGGACUUCUCCAGCCUGGGCCUCCCCCACCCCGCCCCCUCCGGUGCCUCAGGCUGCUCUGCACCCGUGGGACUGGCCUCUGUCCCAGCUAAACAGUGUGCCCUGGAGCUCAGGCAGGGAUGAUACCCCAGACCGAGCUGGAAAUCAGAAACAGCCAAACCCAGAGCAGCAGGUGGAGAUCCAGAAGAAGAGACCGAAGCCAGAGACUUUGAAUAAGACUGAAUAGAGACCCAAAGCCGUGGAGCCCAGGACACUGCAUCCCCCUGGUGAAAAAGGCGCAGGAACCAGACAGGAAGUCCAUGCAGCUCAGGCUUUAAUAGACAGAACGAGGCCUGUGAAGUGUCGCUUCUGCUGAAGGACUGCAGGUGCCACUCCCGCCUCUUCCCCAGGACCUGGGACCUGAGGCAGCUGCAGGUGAGGGAGCGCCCUGUGGCUUUGGAGGCUGAGCUGGCCCUGACACUGAAGGUCCUGGAGGUCACCGCUGACGCUGAUCCGGCCCUGGGGGAUGUCCUGGACCAGCCCCUUCACACCCUCCACAACAUCCUCUCCCAGCUCGGGGCCAGUGUCCAGCCUCAGCAAGGCCCAGGCCCCGGGGCCGCCUCCACCACUGGCUGCACCAGCUCCAGGAGGCCCCGAGGAAGAUGAGAGACCCGGGUCCUUUGGGUCCUGGGGGAGGAUGGCAGGUGCACGAAUUAGUGUCUCCCCAACAGAGUUCUGGGGCUGCUCGUGCCUCCACUGUCUUGAACCUUCCCCUUCCCUUCUCCUUUUUUUUUUUUUUAAGAGAGACAUACACUAUCACCCAGGCUGGAGUGCCGUGGUGAGGUCCUAGCUCACUGCAGCCUCUAACUUCUGGGUUCAAACGAUCUUCCCUCCUAGCCCUCCCACAUCACUGGAAUUAUAGGCAUGAGCCACCACACUUGGCCUUUUCUGCCUCUCUAUUUGGGACCUGAAGUGUGUGGUCAGUGGAGACCCGUGUGUCUGCCCCUGAGACCCACCUGCCAUCUGUCUGUUUUAGUCUGUUUUCUGUUGCUUACAACAGAAUGUCUGAAACUGGGUAAUUUAUAAAGAAAAGGAAUUUAUUCCUUACAGUUCUGGAGGCUGAGAAGUCCAAGGUCGAGAAGCCUCAUCUGCUGAGGGCCUUCUCGCUGGUGGGGACUCUGCAGGGUCCUAAGGUGGUGCAAAGCAUCACAGGGCGAGGGCACCAAGCAUGCCAACUCAGGUCUGUCUUCCUCUUCUUAUAAAGCCACCAGUUGGCUCACACCUGUAAUCCCAGCAUUUUGGGAGGCCAAGGUGGGUGGAUCACUUCAGGUCAGGAGUUUGAGACCAUCCUGGCCAACAUAGUGAAACCCUGUCUCUACUGAGAAUACAAACAAAUUAGCUGACUGUGGUGGCUCAAGCCUGUAAUCCCAGCUACUCAGGAGGCUGAGGCAGGAGAAUCGCUUGAACCCUGGAGGUGGAGGUUGCAUCGAGCCAAGAUCAUGGCACUGCGCUCCAGCCUGGGUGACAUAGCGAGACUCUGUCUAAAUAAAUGAAUAAAUAAAUAGAGCCACCAGUGCCACCCUCAUAGUAACACAUCAACCCAUUAAUCCAUUAGUCCACGAAUCCAUAAUCCAAUCACCUCUUAGAGGCCACACCUCUUAAUUCUGCCACACUGGGGAUUCGGUUUCCACAUGAGCUUUGGAGGAGAUAAAUAUUCAAACCAUAGCACCAUCCAUUACCUUAGGUAUGUAUGCACCGACUACCUUGCCUACAUUCCACCUCCAGAUCCCUAUUUGUUUGUGAAGCCCCCCAAAAAUGUUUGCUCUUGUUCUUUUUAUACAAUUUGUGACAACAAACAAUGAGAAAAGUAAUUUGUCUGUGACAUUG
Long non-coding RNA from Pan troglodytes (chimpanzee), 1909 nucleotides. RefSeq lists it as uncharacterized. The transcript is spliced from 4 exons. NCBI's taxonomy places the organism in Eukaryota, Metazoa, Chordata, Mammalia, Primates, Hominidae. The record is from RefSeq and is a predicted model, not a curated record.